RNAcentral lists this ribosomal RNA (722 nucleotides) under Pseudomonas sp. Wr1C02. Its description in RNAcentral is "bacterial SSU rRNA". It matches the Rfam family "Bacterial small subunit ribosomal RNA", at positions 37 to 755 of the family's 1533-position model. Lineage: Bacteria; Pseudomonadati; Pseudomonadota; Gammaproteobacteria; Pseudomonadales; Pseudomonadaceae. The record is from RNAcentral.
CGGCGGCAGGCCUAACAAUGCAAGUCGAGCGGUAGAGAGAAGCUUGCUUCUCUUGAGAGCGGCGGACGGGUGAGUAAUGCCUAGGAAUCUGCCUGGUAGUGGGGGAUAACGUUCGGAAACGGACGCUAAUACCGCAUACGUCCUACGGGAGAAAGCAGGGGACCUUCGGGCCUUGCGCUAUCAGAUGAGCCUAGGUCGGAUUAGCUAGUUGGUGAGGUAAUGGCUCACCAAGGCGACGAUCCGUAACUGGUCUGAGAGGAUGAUCAGUCACACUGGAACUGAGACACGGUCCAGACUCCUACGGGAGGCAGCAGUGGGGAAUAUUGGACAAUGGGCGAAAGCCUGAUCCAGCCAUGCCGCGUGUGUGAAGAAGGUCUUCGGAUUGUAAAGCACUUUAAGUUGGGAGGAAGGGUUGUAGAUUAAUACUCUGCAAUUUUGACGUUACCGACAGAAUAAGCACCGGCUAACUCUGUGCCAGCAGCCGCGGUAAUACAGAGGGUGCAAGCGUUAAUCGGAAUUACUGGGCGUAAAGCGCGCGUAGGUGGUUUGUUAAGUUGGAUGUGAAAUCCCCGGGCUCAACCUGGGAACUGCAUUCAAAACUGACUGACUAGAGUAUGGUAGAGGGUGGUGGAAUUUCCUGUGUAGCGGUGAAAUGCGUAGAUAUAGGAAGGAACACCAGUGGCGAAGGCGACCACCUGGACUAAUACUGACACUGAGGUGCG